Molecule: transfer RNA, 69 nt
Filed under: Pseudocheirus peregrinus (common ring-tailed possum)
Lineage: Eukaryota; Metazoa; Chordata; Mammalia; Diprotodontia; Pseudocheiridae
Description: transfer RNA-Arg
Rfam family: tRNA
About the family: Transfer RNA (tRNA) molecules are approximately 80 nucleotides in length.
Source: RNAcentral
AGGUACUUAAUCUAAUCAAGACAAUUGAUUUCGACUCAAUUAAUCAUGGUUCCAACCCAUGGGUACCUU